This 75-nucleotide transfer RNA is filed under the name Helicobacter sp. MIT 14-3879. RNAcentral describes it as "tRNA-Gly". It matches the Rfam family "tRNA". Rfam says of the family: Transfer RNA (tRNA) molecules are approximately 80 nucleotides in length. The record is from RNAcentral. Lineage: Bacteria; Pseudomonadati; Campylobacterota; Epsilonproteobacteria; Campylobacterales; Helicobacteraceae.
GCGGGAAUAGCUCAGUGGUAGAGCAUAACCUUGCCAAGGUUGGGGCCGCGGGUUCGAUCCCCGUUUCCCGCUCCA